UGGGGAAUAUUGGACAAUGGGCGAAAGCCUGAUCCAGCAAUACCGCGUGUGUGAAGAAGGCCUGAGGGUUGUAAAGCACUUUCAAUUGGGAGGAAUACCUAUCGGUUAAUAACCGGUAGACUGACAUUACCUUUAGAAGAAGCACCGGCUAACUCCGUGCCAGCAGCCGCGGUAAUACGGAGGGUGCAAGCGUUAAUCGGAAUUACUGGGCGUAAAGCGUACGUAGGCGGUUGAUUAAGUUAGAUGUGAAAGCCCCGGGCUUAACCUGGGAACUGCAUUUAAUACUGGUCGACUAGAGUUGAGUAGAGGGAAGUGGAAUUUCAGGUGUAGCAGUGAAAUGCGUAGAGAUCUGAAGGAACACCAGUGGCGAAGGCGGCUUCCUGGACUCAAACUGACGCUGAGGUACGAAAGCGUGGGUAGCAAACG
Molecule: ribosomal RNA, 426 nt
Filed under: uncultured Methylomonas sp.
Lineage: Bacteria; Pseudomonadati; Pseudomonadota; Gammaproteobacteria; Methylococcales; Methylococcaceae
Description: bacterial SSU rRNA
Rfam family: Bacterial small subunit ribosomal RNA
Source: RNAcentral